RNAcentral lists this unclassified non-coding RNA (519 nucleotides) under uncultured Glomus. RNAcentral describes it as "SSU rRNA". It matches the Rfam family "Eukaryotic small subunit ribosomal RNA", at positions 569 to 1091 of the family's 1831-position model. The record is from RNAcentral. Lineage: Eukaryota; Fungi; Glomeromycota; Glomeromycetes; Glomerales; Glomeraceae.
AGCAGCCGCGGUAAUUCCAGCUCCAAUAGCGUAUAUUAAAGUUGUUGCAGUUAAAAAGCUCGUAGUUGAAUUUCGGGAUCAGUUGAUCGGUCGUGCCUCGGUACGUACUGGUCAAAUUGAUUCCUACCUUCUGACGAACCACGAUGUCAUUAAUUUGGUGUCGUGGGAAAUCAGGACUGUUACUUUGAAAAAUUAGAGUGUUUAAAGCAGGCUCGCGCUUGAAUACAUUAGCAUGGAAUAAUGAAAUAGGACGUUUGAUUCUAUUUUGUUGGUUUCUAGGAUCGACGUAAUGAUUAAUAGGGAUAGUUGGGGGCAUUAGUAUUCAAUUGUCAGAGGUGAAAUUCUUGGAUUUAUUGAAGACUAACUACUGCGAAAGCAUUUGCCAAGGAUGUUUUCAUUAAUCAAAGAACGAAAGUUAGGGGAUCGAAGACGAUCAGAUACCGUCGUAGUCUUAACCAUAAACUAUGCCGACUAGGGAUCGGAUGAUGUUAAUUUUUAAUGACUCAUUCGGCGCCUUAC